This 469-nucleotide ribosomal RNA is filed under the name uncultured organism. RNAcentral describes it as "partial 16S ribosomal RNA". It matches the Rfam family "Bacterial small subunit ribosomal RNA", at positions 335 to 796 of the family's 1533-position model. The record is from RNAcentral.
ACUCCUACGGGAGGCAGCAGUGGGGAAUUUUGGACAAUGGGCGAAAGCCUGAUCCAGCAAUGCCGCGUGAGUGAAGAAGGCCUUCGGGUUGUAAAGCUCUUUUGUCAGGGAAGAAACGGUGAAAGCUAAUAUCUUUUGCUAAUGACGGUACCUGAAGAAUAAGCACCGGCUAACUACGUGCCAGCAGCCGCGGUAAUACGUAGGGUGCAAGCGUUAAUCGGAAUUACUGGGCGUAAAGCGUGCGCAGGCGGUUUUGUAAGUCUGAUGUGAAAUCCCCGGGCUCAACCUGGGAAUUGCAUUGGAGACUGCAAGGCUAGAAUCUGGCAGAGGGGGGUAGAAUUCCACGUGUAGCAGUGAAAUGCGUAGAUAUGUGGAGGAACACCGAUGGCGAAGGCAGCCCCCUGGGUCAAGAUUGACGCUCAUGCACGAAAGCGUGGGGAGCAAACAGGAUUAGAUACCCCGGUAGUCC